GACGAACGCUGGCGGCGUGCUUAACACAUGCAAGUCGAGCGGUAAGGCCCGUUUCGGGGGUACACGAGCGGCGAACGGGUGAGUAACACGUGGGUGACCUGCCCUUAGCUCUGGGAUAAGCCUGGGAAACUGGGUCUAAUACCGGAUAUGACUCCAUGACGCAUGUUGUGGGGUGGAAAGCCUUGUGCGGCUAGGGAUGGGCCUGCCGGCCUAUCAGCUUGUUGGUGGGGUGAUGGCCUACCAAGGCGUCGACGGGUAGCCGGCCUGAGAGGGCGACCGGCCACACUGGGACUGAGACACGGCCCAGACUCCUACGGGAGGCAGCAGUGGGGAAUCUUGCGCAAUGGGCGAAAGCCUGACGCAGCGACGCCGCGUGGGGAU
RNAcentral lists this ribosomal RNA (381 nucleotides) under uncultured bacterium. RNAcentral's name for it is "bacterial SSU rRNA". It matches the Rfam family "Bacterial small subunit ribosomal RNA", at positions 28 to 408 of the family's 1533-position model. The record is from RNAcentral.